CCUACGGGAUGCAGCAGUCGAGAAUCAUUCACAAUGGGGGCAACCCUGAUGGUGCGACGCCGCGUGGGGGAAUGAAGGUCUUCGGAUUGUAAACCCCUGUCAUGUGGGCGCAAAUUAAAAAGAUAGUACCACAAGAGGAAGAGACGGCUAACUCUGUGCCAACAGCCGCGGUAAUACAGCGGUCACAAGCGUUGUUCGGAAUCACUGGGCGUAAAGCGUGCGUAGGCUGUUUCGUAAGUCGUGUGUGAAAGGCGCGGGCUCAACCCGCGGACGGCACAUGAUACUGCGAGACUAGAGUAAUGGAGGGGGAACUGGAAUUCUCGGUGUAGCAGUGAAAUGCGGAGAUAGCGAGAGGAACACUCGUGGCGAAGGCGGGUUCCUGGACAUUAACUGACGCUGAGGCACGAAGGCCAGGGGAGCGAAAGGGAUUAGAUACCCCUGUAGUC
Molecule: ribosomal RNA, 446 nt
Filed under: uncultured bacterium
Lineage: Bacteria
Description: partial 16S ribosomal RNA
Rfam family: Bacterial small subunit ribosomal RNA
Source: RNAcentral